UUAAUAAUUGAAUAUUUCAAGAAUAACUCAGAGUCAAAGUUCAGGGAUGUUUAGUUCUAAAACUCCAUUUCCCUAAGACCAAAGAAGGGAACACAAGGACCAGAAUCCUGAUGCAUCUUCAUGGAGGUGCUCCAGACAUCCAUCUGCCAUGGCUACUUCUCCUGGGAACUAAACACGUGUGACUCUGCUAUCUGGUAAACUUUUAGAUCCCUCUACAGCCAUGAACAACCUUUACCAGAGCUUAUAAUUGUUUAUCUUAUGGGACUAAACUUUUGAUAACUAUGCUUAGACUUUAUGGACCUAGCAUACUCUUAAUCCUUGAUGAUAAGUGCUUAUUUUGCCUUUUACCUGUUUCACCCUAAUAAACCUUGUAUUGUUUAAACCA
Erinaceus europaeus (western European hedgehog) is the source of this 385-nucleotide long non-coding RNA. RefSeq lists it as uncharacterized. NCBI's taxonomy places the organism in Eukaryota, Metazoa, Chordata, Mammalia, Eulipotyphla, Erinaceidae. The transcript has 2 exons. The record is from RefSeq and is a predicted model, not a curated record.